AGAACUAUCAAAAACAACAUCGUAGUUCUAAAUUUGUAGCAGUGCUUUACUUCUAGCACCUAAAAUCAACUGUGCCUAUUAAUCAACCAUGACAAAGUUUAUGUCGUAAACAACAUUAUCAAUCAUGGUGCUUGUGAAUCAUGAAUAUUGCCAAAACUGUAGUUCCCUUCCUCCCCAGAAAUUAACAAAAAACAAAACAAUACAACACCUACUUCUCACUCAUAUUUCCAAAUGACUUUCAUAAGGCACGGAGAGCUGUUCCGAUGAGAAAACAGAUAAAAAGCUUCUAUAAUCCUGGGAGAUCAGCGAAACAUGUGAAACAUUAAAGUAACAGUGAAUGACAGACCGAAAUGCAAAAGAAUGAAUUAGAAUGACAAUUUACAGUCCCUAGCAACUGCAACAAACUGUAGUUCUACAAGUGCGUACAUCUAUCUUCUUAUACUGAUACUGAAGCCAAGAAUCAAAACAACACUAUGAGGUCUAUCUAAACUGACACCAUACAUGUUAGCAAAGCCAUGACUGCAUGUGAAAGCAUAUAUUUAUACUUUUUAAUUAGCAGCAAGUAUAUACUACAUACUGGAAUAAUUUCGGGCAUUUAAUUGAAGAAUCAUAAAUUGAAUUGUUACCAGAAAAAGUAUUGCCUAUGUUGAUCUUUAAAGCUUUUCUUUUUUGCUGUGGUCAUGUUCUAUAAACUUCAAAUAUUAUGCAUAAUUUGUAUUCUAUCUCAAACAAAACUGAACAAUAGGUCUAUACCUCAUUCUUAUGACAUACCUGACUGCCAUACAAAAUAAUAGGCUACAUCAAAUUUUGUGACAGAAGCUAAAAAGUAGAAAUCUUACAUCUUUUUCAAAGCUCUGGUGUUUGUUGGCUUGGAGCUCCUGAACCUGCUUUUCGCGUACAGUGCAGGUGAAAUCUUAGCCUGUUGUUAUAGUCAAAGUACGAUCUCCACUGAAAUCCUCCCCUUGGGCCGCCAUCUCCAAACCUUCAUGUGUCAGAGGAAAACAUAAUAAAACAUGCCAAACGGAUUGAGAAAAGUGACAUAAUAAGUAGUAUCUAUUUUUAGUUGCAGUAGAAACAUCAAGGCUAGGAUUAACUAUUUUUUCGUUGUGCACUACAUCUGCUGCUGCACACAAAAAUGAUCAUUGCAUUCUUCCAAAUCCAGAAUGUCCAGUCUUUGCCAAUCUAGCUCAUUAUAAUCAUCAUAUAGGGAAGCUCAACAUUGAGAAAAGAAAAAAGAUAAAUAGACAAAGAAGAUAUUAUUGCCAUAUUUUUGCUAGAAGAUAACUCAGCCUAUAUGACUAUAUCGAUUUAGACAAAGAUAUUUACCCAAGAUCCUUCUCUCUAAUUAUCAAAAAUCAUGCUUGGAGUCAAAACCAAGCAAACUUGCAUCUUGAUCAGCCUACACUUUAUACUUACAACAGCAACCGUAUACUGCACAAAUUAUCAACAAUACAAACUGAAAGACAUGCAGUUCUUGUUUGAGAACUGCCUACACGCAUAUCAUCCACUUUAUACUUACAACACCGGCUGUACACUGCACAUUAUCGUGCAGUUAUUGUUUGAGAACCUCUUGUUUGAGACCCGAAGAGAGUUGUGAUAUGUAAUAUAUAGCAAAAAUUUGCAACGUGGAAGAUCAGAACACAGAAUUCAAAUUAAUUUGGUGAAUGAAUGAUACUUACACAAUCUGAAUCUGAUGCUGCCGAUGCAGGCCGUGCUCACUGCUGUAGAAGGUGUAUAUAAAAGUUCAGUACCCUGUUCCUCCUUUCCAAAUCUACCAGACUGCUUAAUUUACAAACAAAGAAACUUGUGCUGCUUGCCAUGGGAGAGAUGGUGGCGGGGAAAACACAACCUUAGAAAACAUGAUGCUUGUAUAACCCCAGAAACGUCAAUGAUUUGACAUGAGUGUCACAGGCGGCCAAGCAAAUAUGCUACUUAUCAACACACGCAUGCACGCACAGUACAUGUUAUCUAUCAAAGUAACAACAAAUCAGAGACAAAUGCCUCAUGUUGUCCCCACGGUUCAAUGGAAUGGAUUGUAUCUAAUCAGGACAUCCAAUCAGUGGUGUCAUCAUCACAAUGAACCCACGAACAUGUACAACAAGGGAGCAGGUACCUUUCUCUGCUUGGAG
This 2129-nucleotide long non-coding RNA is filed under the name Triticum aestivum (bread wheat). RNAcentral's name for it is "long non-coding RNA (TAES_LNC001181)". The record is from RNAcentral. Lineage: Eukaryota; Viridiplantae; Streptophyta; Magnoliopsida; Poales; Poaceae.